Molecule: long non-coding RNA, 270 nt
Filed under: Rosa chinensis
Lineage: Eukaryota; Viridiplantae; Streptophyta; Magnoliopsida; Rosales; Rosaceae
Description: sRNA RchiOBHm_Chr3g0458671
Source: RNAcentral
GCCCGGCCGCAGCGCUCCCCCUCUGAUCCCCGGCGGCCGUCUGAGUCCCUGCCUGCACCGUAGGCAGACCAUCUUCACCAAGGUGAGACUGGUGCGGCAUCGCCAUCACCACCGGAACCUCGGACUGGCUCAACGCCAACGUCUCCGGGUUCACCACAGUCUGCUGGGCCGCCAGCCCCUCGGCAUACAUGGCCUCCAAAAAAUUUUCUAUCUCCGCCCGAUCCAUCGCCUUCUCAAAUGCGUCGCGACUUGAUUUGUUGCCCGGCGGAG